AUCAAGUGUUCCCCUAAACUCAGUCCCCCAAAUCAAAACCAUAGACACGGCUGAGAAGCAAGCGUGAGGAGGACAACGGGAUCCUUUUGAUAAGUGUUUACACAUCAGAGAUUGUUUCGAAAACGAGAAAUGAGUUCAGAACGACGGAGAAGCGCAAGACUCAUCGAGAGUCCUUGGGUCUACAACUGGCCCAAACAGGCUCCAAUUUAUGUUAAUUUAGUUGAUGAGGAGGAGGAAUCAUUUGCUGGACAACAUAAUUCAAUAAACCAGGCGCUGGAUGCGCUGGAUCCGGUAAACAAAACUUGAAGUGGAGUAGGAAAUAAAAGUUGGACGACCCUUGAAAGUUUGGAUUUGAGAACGGAGGGGGUGAUGGGGAAAACAAGACAAGAUGAGGUUUUUAGUGGCGAGGAACACGACUUUGUUGCCCCUGCUGAACAAUUUGGGAAGAGCAAAUACUCUAGAUUGCAGACUCAUGAACCGGAAGAUAUGAAGAAGAUGGUUACAUUUGGUGCUUGUCAGAAAGCUGAUAAGAUAAUUGAGAAAAGAACUAGACAAGCAGAGUCGUGCAGGGAACAAUGAAAUCUAAUAUGGAUGCUGCAAUUGAUGAGGGUAGUCAAAGAGGAUCAGGACACAAAGUUAUUGCUAAAACGGGGAUAAAGCUCAGUAUAGGUGGUGUUGGGAACUUUGCAAUAUUAAGAUAUCCGUUUAAACGGACGGAAGGGGGUAAAAUCUAUCCACCUGCUAAAAAUCCCAAAAUACAAAAGGACAACCAGAAGGCAGUGCUGAACAAGCUAUGAAUCUUCUAUGCACAUAAAAGAGUCAAUCUAUAAACAGUAAGAAGAAGACGGUGACUAGCGGAGCAACAUACCUGGCCAAGGGGAAGAAAGUUGUUGGAUAGUCAAUCAUAAAAAAUUCACAUAUAAUGUAGGCAAGCAAGUAAUUUGCAAACUGAUUCCUUGAGAUGUUUAAAGGAUCUUAUGAAAGUGUGUUUGGUUUGAUUUGUCACGAAAAACAUAAUGACCUGAAGAAUCUCUUUUUUUAUAAAAAAUUGCAUUUGUAUUUAAAAAUGUU
This is a long non-coding RNA of Daucus carota subsp. sativus, 1071 nucleotides long. RefSeq lists it as uncharacterized. The record is from RefSeq and is a predicted model, not a curated record. NCBI's taxonomy places the organism in Eukaryota, Viridiplantae, Streptophyta, Magnoliopsida, Apiales, Apiaceae. The transcript is spliced from 4 exons.